GAUGAACGUUGGCGACGUGCCUAACACAUGCAAGUCGAGCGGAGAAGAAGAGAGUGGACUUUUCGGAGUGAACUCGUUUCGGAGCAGCGGCGGACGGGUGAGUAAUACAUGAGGAACCUGCCCUCUACAAGGGGAUAGCUGGGGGAAAACGCGAUUAAUACCCUAUGAGACAACGAAAGCGCAUGCCGUUGGGGUUAAAGAUUUAUCGGUAGAAGAUGGCCUCAUGACCCAUUAGCUAGUUGGUGAUUUAACCGACCACCAAGGCGACGAUGGGUAGCCGGCUUGAGAGCGUGCCCGGCCACCUUGGAACUGAGACCCGGUCCAGACUCCCACGGGAGGCAGCAGUGGGGAAUGUUGCACGCUGGGGGAGACCCUGAUGCAGCGACGUCGCGUGAGCGAAGAAGGCCUUCGGGUCGUAAAGCUCUGUCCUAUGGGCAGACAAGGACGGUACCAUAGAAGGAAGCCCCGGCUAACUACGUG
This 480-nucleotide ribosomal RNA is filed under the name uncultured bacterium. Its description in RNAcentral is "partial 16S ribosomal RNA". It matches the Rfam family "Bacterial small subunit ribosomal RNA", at positions 28 to 507 of the family's 1533-position model. The record is from RNAcentral.